UUCCUUUCACCGGGCUCUUCUUUCAGUUCAGGCGACGCCAUGGAUGACAGAUCCUCUGCAAUGGCAUCCUCGUCUGUGUAUGUCCAGACAAAUGAUGGACUGCGGGUCAAGGGCCUUCCUCCGCUAUCUCCAAUUUGUGUCACCAUCAGCAAGCAAUUCAUUCUUGAAUGAGCAAUUGAAACAAUUGGUGGCACACUCCAUCCAUUCACUUUUACCGGCACGGGCAACAAUGAUGUUGACGUCUCUGUCUCCAUUGACCUACCUCCCCAGAGCAAAAGCGUCUCAAACACAAGAAAGGAAUUUCAUGCCCCAUACAUUGAAUCUGCAUGUGUUGCCGUCCUCGUGUACCUACAGAGAACAGGUAUAGUCACAAUCGAUGAUGCAAACUUUGCAGUGCUGAAAAUGUGCAAAAGAAAACUUCAGGCUGAGGAGUUCUGGUCCUCGGCUCUCUACGAUAAGGCCAGCGCCCUGCGCGGCCAGCCCUCUUUACUGACUGUCGUCAACCAAAAACCCUAGCCUGAGGCUAAACAAGGAGCUACUAUGUUGCCUCCUAAGCAUCAGAGUACUGCAUAGACCAGCCAGAUAGUGCUCUCCAAGGAUGCCACUGGAGGAGAAACCACAUCAACCCUGAUACGUCUCCAACGUAUCUAUAAUUUUUGAUUGCUCCAUGCUAUAAUAUCUACUUUUUUGGACAUUAUUAGGCUUUAUUAUCCACUUUAA
This is a long non-coding RNA of Triticum dicoccoides, 720 nucleotides long. RefSeq lists it as uncharacterized. NCBI's taxonomy places the organism in Eukaryota, Viridiplantae, Streptophyta, Magnoliopsida, Poales, Poaceae. The record is from RefSeq and is a predicted model, not a curated record. The transcript has 3 exons.